GGUGGAACCUGCAGAUGGAUCAUUAGUGAAUUACUUUGGGCAAUUUCUCUCUGAGUCAUUGCCCAAUUCUCUACUAUCCAACACAGACUACGGAAAGUGACGCAGUAAUGCAAGCUUGUCCGGAUUGAGGCAAUGUCUUUUGACCUCUUGCUUCACAACUUUUUAAACUCUUUACAAUUGAAGAAUGUAAAAACUGUCUUCGGACAUAAAUAAUAUACAACUUUUGACAACGGAUCUCUUGGUUCUCCCAUCGAUGAAGAACGCAGCGAAAUGCGAUAAGUAAUGUGAAUUGCAGAAUUCAGUGAAUCAUCGAAUCUUUGAACGCACCUUGCGCCCUUGGGUAUUCUCAAGGGCAUGCCUGUUUGAGUGUCAUAACAAUCUCAUCUCUCAGUCUUUUUGAAAGAGAAGGCUGUUUGGAGAUGGUGAUGGGCGUUUGCCAGACAUCCGUCUUGCUCGCCUGAAAUAUAUCAGUAGAUCUCUUUGAGUCUGGUCUGACUAUGUGUGAUAAUUUGAUCGCAUAGGAUGUGCUCUGCACAACCAGCUUAACAACAGAGGCUUGCUUCUAACACGGAAUGGUCAGAGAGUAAUUUUCUGCCAUCGUUAGCUAUAUUGUCUGACCUCAAAUCAGGUAGGACUACCCGCUGAACUUAAGCAUAUCAAUAAGCGGAGGAGGA
RNAcentral lists this ribosomal RNA (674 nucleotides) under Tilletia challinorae. RNAcentral's name for it is "eukaryotic LSU rRNA". The stretch from base 219 to 372 matches the Rfam family "5.8S ribosomal RNA". Lineage: Eukaryota; Fungi; Basidiomycota; Exobasidiomycetes; Tilletiales; Tilletiaceae. The record is from RNAcentral.